This 972-nucleotide long non-coding RNA is filed under the name Chinchilla lanigera (long-tailed chinchilla). RNAcentral's name for it is "lncRNA (ENSCLAG00000024574.1)". The record is from RNAcentral. Lineage: Eukaryota; Metazoa; Chordata; Mammalia; Rodentia; Chinchillidae.
CUGCCGCGGACAUGAUGGGCCCGGGGCGCAGCGCGCGCGCGGCGCCCGAUAGGUGGCAGCCGAGAGCGAGGCCCCGGGGCUCCAGAGGCGCCGCCGAGCCCCCUAGGCUGUCAGUCUAGGAGACAGAGGAGUCUAGGACCACGUGCGUAACGCGAGCGUGGGAGUGUGCGGUGCUCGUGUUGGAGAAGGGAGGAAUGGAAAUAACCCCGACAGCGCCAGGCUUGGCGGUGGUCAGGGACAGAUGACUGCAGCCCUGCGCUGCUCGCCGGCUCUUCUGCCGUUUAGCGCAAUAGAGCCCUUGCUGCGGUCUCCCUACCUACCCUAAAGGAUCCUGGAAGAGGGAGUGGUUCGUCCGAGCUGUAGAGAGGGAGCUACUUUUAUUUUUAAGAAUUACGUUUGUAUAAGUACGAUCGGGCAGUUCAAGGGAGGGCGAACGACUUGCAGGAAAAAAAAAAUGUGAAUGCAUUUGGUAUGAGCUAAAAGCUGGAAAAGCCCCAAAUAGAGGCAGUAUGGAUAGAAAGCAAGUUUGUUGAAGAGUCACCUGCUAAACUUCACUAGCGUCGUCUCUACAAGUGAUCUGUGCUGUCUGGGCCUGCCUUGCAGUUGAACCUGGAUUUGAAACUGACAACUAUGAACGAAUAGGAAAAUGUUGCAGCAGGAGCUGCCACGUCUGAAGAAAAUUCAAAGAAAGGUCUAUUCGGGCAGUGGUGGCUUUUCAUGGAUUUACUGAACCAACGAAGGACCCACUUCCAAGAGGGCUGUUAUGCUUUCCAUGGAUUUAUAAGGCAGAUACAACCUGUGACGGGAUGUCAGCUAGCAGAAUAAGUGAAUUGACGGCCAUUAGAUGAAAGACAAAUGGUGAUACAUAAGUGCAAGACAAAGAAAUGAGAAGGUUGAAUUGAAUCAGGCAAGUACAAUUAUGAAUUUAUGGAUUUCUAAGAUGUAACAUAUAUAUAUAUGUGUGUGUGCAGG